ACGGGAUUACCCACGCGCGCACGACUCGUGGCUACUUCGGACGAAUAAUAAACCGCACUGUCAAAAACAAGGAAACCGCAUCGUCGCCCCAUCCUCGCUUUUUUUCUCCACCGAUGCAUCAUUGGCGCCGCCGUGAACUUCUCCAACAACCGGAUGGUGAAAUCCUGCCCGCGUCCCGCCGCCAGCACGCACCACCACGGCAUCACGCCGCCGGCACGCACCACCACAGCAUCACGCCGCCGGCACGCACCAGGUUUGCCAUAUCCUCGAGUCUGGGUGAGAUCCGCCGGCCACAACCGAGUACGCGUGAAGACAUAAGUGUUGUGCUGCAGAUCAGAUCCGCCGGUCACAACCGAGUACGCGUGAAGACAGAAGUGUUGUGCUGCAGAUUGGUGGCCAUCCUAUGGAGGGAGGUGGUUCACUCCACGACCUACACGAGUAUGUGAGUCCUGCUGUGCUUAGCUGCGCUCCAUCGCCUAUGAAUCUGGAGUGUAUUGCAGUUGAUUCUUCCUUGUGUAGAAAAUUUCCCAGGUCGAGGAAGACUUCUCCCUGCCGCAUGUCUUCUCAGGUAGGUAUAGUACUUCCGCUAAUCCAUAGACUAAGUCUGGUGACAUCCCAGUUCUUCAACUGAUUAUUUGUGCACAAAUAUAUAUUUUUUCUGUAUUAUCAGCACUGACCCACACAGAUAGAUUUAUUUAACACCAUCCUAAAUGGAAAUUUCCCAUGUCUAUAGUGGUCUGCAUAAUCCCUCGUUUGUGCAAUUUCAGCAUUGUUCUUAUUCACACUUCAAUCAUCUAACUAUUCUCCAUAAACGCUAAUUAUAUCAAUUCAUGCAUAUUUCUUAUUCAUGAUUUCUUAGAUGCCUCUUAUCCAAACUGCCUGAUUUGAUUCUUCUCACUAGGAUACACACUUCAAAAUUACUGCUUCCCGACAAGUACCCUAGCAGCUUUAGAUGCACAAAAUAUCGUUCUUCCAUUGUUAAAUUUAUUAAUAGGUUGAGGGUGGCCAUUUGUUUAGUCAUCUCCACAACUAAUUUCUCUUCCUGACUUGGAGCAAGAGCAUGAGAUUUUGAAUCAUAAUUACAUAUGGCCGAUUACCAUCUUGCCUUCUUGAACCAUAUUCGUGCUAAUCUAUAACCUAAUUUUCAUACUUGUGAACAUCAGUAUCAUUACUGUCCCUUUCCUGGUUUCUUCUGUAUUGAUGCAGAUGAUUCUUUGCUUCAUCUCAAUUAGUGCCCCUCUCCCCUAGACCGAUGCAAAGGAUGAAUGCCGAAGUCAAGUUUUUCAUUUGGCCAUCGGUAAAUGUUGGAUUACAUGGGAUAUAUCUGAUGAGGAUUUCUCAUUUUGAUAUAAAAUCUGAAUAUUGCUGCAGCCUGUAUUCAAAGCUCUUUGUGUUGGUGAAAGCAAAAAAAAAAAUUCUUUAGGACAUUUCGUGUGCUACAGGUGAUGCAUAUUGCACAAAAGAGUUUGAGAUGGCGUGCCGCGUUGGCACCAAUGCUUCAUAACAGGGAAUGGCGGUAGUGUUGGAAUGCUCAGUGGAUGAUUAAGCUCUAUUCUUUAGGUUCCCUUUUCCACUUGCAAACCUUUUUCACCCGCAAAAGGCUCUGCUUUAGUGGGGUUUCCAGAAUAAUAUUUUAUUGUAAACAAAGAAUCACUCUUCAGUUCUUCACUUUGUUUUGAAAAUUUAUUUCUAGCAUAACUUAACAUUUUCGCGGAAACGGCUGUUUGGUUCAAAGCAUUUCAGAUUCUUUAGCUCUAUUCUGCUGUUUGUUUUGUCCGCGGUGUUCUGUUUUCUGUUUUAACAAUGGUACUAAAUUCUUGUAAAUAUCAAUAUUUAGUGCCACUAUUGGUAUUGUUUUGUUUGUAAUGUUUAAACUCGCAUAUUUUAACUGGAUUCACUUGUACUGAGAUAUACUCACUACAAGAGUGGAUGCACUUUUGGAGUCACAUAUUGGGUAAUUAUUAUGCUCGCCUUCGGGAGGAUCUGCUCUGCUGAUGGUAGGUAUUAAGCAUUUUGCUACCACUUUGUAACUACUAUCUUUCUCCCCUCCAUUAUUUGUGCCAGUUAAAAAAAAAUUCCGAUGUUCUCAGUAUUUUUCAUUGAAGGCAAGUGUGAAGUGUUGUGUAGGUGACAUCCAACAGAAUUGUGAAAUUAAUGAUCAUGCUCAGGUCGAUCUGGCAUUUGAACUGAUGAAUAGAGCCUUGAAAAUGAAAGAAAUGAACAAAGAUCUGAAAAUCAGUUACAAGCGUAUUGCUAUGCUGCCCAUGGUAGUGUUAAAGACAAAAUAAGGUGGUAUUUUUAAGAUGGAAAAGCUGGAGGAGUGAAUACACAUCAUGUCUCUUAGCAAGUGUGAUGUUCAGGAUUUGGCUGUGCCUAUUUGGGUUCUUUGUAACCGUACAUGAUACUAGAAUUCUCUUAUGUAUGUGUUAGCUGCUGGAGCACACACAUCGGGUUAUAUAUUUUGGUGGAUAUUAUCAAUUAUUUGUACCAGAUUUCAGAGUAUUCAUAAUUAUUUUGUCAGUACAUAUCAAAGUAUGGUUAUUAGAAGUUGAUGUUUUUGAGAGGUUUAUAACAUGAUGUGGCGUUGUUCUUCAGAUCAUUACCAGUUUGUCAGGCUUGAGCCUGUCAUCACAGACGAUCUCAUUCGUGCAUUGUUUUAUUGUCGAUGCAGACCAAACUGAUGUUGGAGGAUUAGAUCUCAAAUGCAGAUUGGUGUUUGCUUCAUAGUUGGAUUGCUCUUGCGCCAGGUUCAUACUUGCCUCGAUACCUACUGCAUGCCCAACAAGGGUUGCGGGGAUGCCCUUCUCGCGGAGAAGCUGUACAUCACUCUAUGAGUCGUUGCUUCUUAUGCAGACAAUGUACAAGGAAGGCUGUUUAUCCAAGCCGGCGAAGGAAUCCUUAGUUUUGUUUAGUGAGGUCUCGAGCAUAGGUAGCUUCUCCUCCAGAACGGAGAGGGGUAUGUUGAGAGAUCUAGAAAGUGAAAGUAUUUGAAAGUAAUGAGCAGGCCAUACGUCCAGUAGCAGAUGAGGUUUACCCUUGCAGAUCAAACUUCUGUACUCUGUAGUCUGAACAAGGAUGCAGGCACUCACUGUCAGCAGGUUCAAGAUUGGCGCUGACUACGUUAUGUCAGAUGAAUAGGUGAAAUGCCGUAAGUUCUUAA
This is a non-coding RNA of Lolium perenne, 3160 nucleotides long. Lineage: Eukaryota; Viridiplantae; Streptophyta; Magnoliopsida; Poales; Poaceae. The record is from RefSeq and is a predicted model, not a curated record.